UACGUAGGGUGCAAGCGUUAAUCGGAAUUACUGGGCGUAAAGCGUGCGCAGGCGGUUUUGCAAGCCAGAUGUGAAAUCCCCGGGCUUAACCUGGGAAUGGCAUUUGGGACUGCAAGGCUCGAGUGCGGCAGAGGAGACUGGAAUUCCUGGUGUAGCAGUGAAAUGCGUAGAUAUCAGGAGGAACACCGAUGGCGAAGGCAGGUCUCUGGGCUGACACUGACGCUCAUGCACGAAAGCGUGGGGAGCAAACAGG
RNAcentral lists this ribosomal RNA (253 nucleotides) under uncultured bacterium. Its description in RNAcentral is "partial 16S ribosomal RNA". It matches the Rfam family "Bacterial small subunit ribosomal RNA", at positions 524 to 776 of the family's 1533-position model. The record is from RNAcentral.